This 74-nucleotide transfer RNA is filed under the name Hydrogenivirga sp. 128-5-R1-1. It matches the Rfam family "tRNA". From Rfam's summary of the family: Transfer RNA (tRNA) molecules are approximately 80 nucleotides in length. Their secondary structure includes four short double-helical elements and three loops (D, anti-codon, and T loops). Further hydrogen bonds mediate the characteristic L-shaped molecular structure. tRNAs have two regions of fundamental functional importance: the anti-codon, which is responsible for specific mRNA codon recognition, and the 3' end, to which the tRNAs corresponding amino acid is attached (by aminoacyl-tRNA synthetases). tRNAs cope with the degeneracy of the genetic code in two manners: having more than one tRNA (with a specific anti-codon) for a particular amino acid; and 'wobble' base-pairing, i.e. permitting non-standard base-pairing at the 3rd anti-codon position. The record is from Rfam by way of RNAcentral. Lineage: Bacteria; Pseudomonadati; Aquificota; Aquificia; Aquificales; Aquificaceae.
GGGCCUUUAGCUCAGACGGUUAGAGCGUACCCCUGAUAAGGGUAAGGUCGGUGGUUCGAGUCCACCAAGGCCCA